Molecule: ribosomal RNA, 253 nt
Filed under: uncultured bacterium
Lineage: Bacteria
Description: partial 16S ribosomal RNA
Rfam family: Bacterial small subunit ribosomal RNA
Source: RNAcentral
UACGUAGGUCCCGAGCGUUGUCCGGAUUUAUUGGGCGUAAAGGGAGCGUAGGCGGGUUGUUAAGUCAGUUAUGAAAGUUUGCGGCUCAACCGUAAAAUUGCAGUUGAUACUGGCAUCCUUGAGUACAGUAGAGGUAGGCGGAAUUCGUGGUGUAGCGGUGAAAUGCUUAGAUAUCACGAAGAACUCCGAUUGCGAAGGCAGCCUGCUGGACUGUAACUGACGCUGAUGCUCGAAAGUGUGGGUAUCAAACAGG